UUAUAGAGUUUUCUAAACUCCCAACCCAUGUGAACUUACCUUUUGUUGCCUCGGCAGAAGUUAUAGGUCUUCUUAUAGCUGCUGCCGGUGGACCAUUAAACUCUUGUUAUUUUAUGUAAUCUGAGCGUCUUAUUUUAAUAAGUCAAAACUUUCAACAACGGAUCUCUUGGUUCUGGCAUCGAUGAAGAACGCAGCGAAAUGCGAUAAGUAAUGUGAAUUGCAGAAUUCAGUGAAUCAUCGAAUCUUUGAACGCACAUUGCGCCCAUUAGUAUUCUAGUGGGCAUGCCUGUUCGAGCGUCAUUUCAACCCUUAAGCCUAGCUUAGUGUUGGGAAUCUACUUCUCUUAGGAGUUGUAGUUCCUGAAAUACAACGGCGGAUUUGUAGUAUCCUCUGAGCGUAGUAAUUUUUUUCUCGCUUUUGUUAGGUGCUAUAACUCCCAGCCGCUAAACCCCCAAUUUUUUGUGGUUGACCUCGGAUCAGGUAGGAAUACCCGCUGAACUUAAGCAUAUCAAUAAGCGGAGGAAAAGAAACCAACAGGGAUUGCCUUAGUAACGGCGAGUGAAGCGGCAACAGCUCAAAUUUGAAAUCUGGCCCUUGGGUCCGAAUUGUAAUUUGU
Molecule: ribosomal RNA, 616 nt
Filed under: fungal endophyte
Lineage: Eukaryota; Fungi
Description: eukaryotic LSU rRNA
Rfam family: 5.8S ribosomal RNA (bases 147-300)
Source: RNAcentral